Molecule: long non-coding RNA, 2536 nt
Organism: Anopheles darlingi
Lineage: Eukaryota; Metazoa; Arthropoda; Insecta; Diptera; Culicidae
Exons: 3
Source: RefSeq, a predicted model, not a curated record
UGAUGAGGUUGGUCAUCCUCGGCAGGGAUGACAAGUUGGUUUAAUUUAGAAGCAGUUUUUCAAUCGGGCCGAUAAUGAUCGAACCAGCUUUAGGUGUGGUCGUGGCGUGCAAAUAAGCGUUUUCAUUAGUUCUUCUGGUUAUACGAGUGAUGUUUAUAUUAAGUAUUGUCAAAGCGAUUGAUUGGUAGAAAGUAUUCCAUUUUCUGGUAUGAAUAAGGCAUUCUAAUUAAUAUUAAAAGACAACAGCCUACCAAAGAACAAAAAGAGUCCGUACAAAGAGAAGAAUCCUUUAAUAACAUCAGUUUGGAGUGAAAAUAAUCUGUUAUCGAAUCGAAUUAAACUGCAUCGCAACCAGUACCAUCUACACAUCUUCAAUGAUUACCUUGGUCUUGUCGGUGCUUCUUUCCUGGCGUUCCGUCAGCCCAAGUCUCAGCUCAUCCUUUCCAGCGAGCUGCGAUUGAUCUGCUGACUGGUUUGCUGGCUGGCUGGCGGCGGCACCACCAUAAUAAAUGGAACUACCGUUUAUAAAUCAAAUCAUCUAUGAAACGCGAACUAAACGGUCCGUCUUAGGAUGAUGAGCCGGCGGCGCCGCCGACGCCGACGUCGCAUUGACAACGAGCACCGAUGAAGGGUAAGCUGGAGUGGAGGAGCAGCGUGUAAUUUCAAGCGUUUAAUAGCCACAACCACGGAAGAUGACGAAAGGGGUUUGUGAUAUCAGAUCUGGCAUUUGUUUUUGCUUUGCUUUCUCACAAUCAUCAUCAUCAUUAUCAUGACGGCCUGACGAGCGAGAGGGCGGGGAUCAAAGAGAGAGAGAGAGAGGCUCGCUAUCAGGAUAUAAGGGAACGGAGAGAUAAGAUGGAUCACUGCACCUUCGCUCCAGUUUGAUGUCCUUAAUUCGUCACUUUUUAUGAGAUUUUUUCCGUGGGAUUCCUCCUCACUGUCCGAUCAUUUGUGAUGUCUCAAACAAUUUCAUGGGAGAGGAGAAGAGUUUAGAGCCAACGUUGCCAACGUUGUUACUCAGUUAUGCUGACCAUCCUGUGAACACCACCGAGGCCAUUUGUGAGCCAGCUCGCCGCUUGGACGGCCAGACGAAUUGACGAAUAGGCGGACUAUUUAGUCGUAAAAUAUGACUUAUGCCACCGGCAAAAGGCGCCGCCGUAGGCGCCACAUCUCAUGUUGCUGCUGCUGCUGCUACUUAUACGGCAGCAGCAGCAGCAUCAGCAGCAACAGAAUCUAGCUCACCUUGGCCAGUAGGCCAUUAACGAGCCAACGAUGAUGCCAGUAGCCAGUGGCUAGCUCGCUUGCCACUCAGCUAGCUAGCUGACUCUCUGGUAGCAAUUUGUGACGAUUAAUCAUCUCAUUAUUCACACUCACUCAACCUCCACGCUUACCACGCUUCGUCCAUCGUACCGAUGUCGUGGUCGUCGUGAUGCGGAACACUCGCCAUGCCGUAGUACCGUAGAUUAUCGCCGGUAAUACCGGUGCGCCGGGCGCAGUGACGGGAUUCAUUGUUUCAUCGCUCAAGGCAGACAAACCAACUGACCAACCGACGGUACAAAUCGCCAGUGCGCGCGAUCGACGCGUAAUGCUGGCUGCCUGCGUCCGGCCUGUUUUGAUGAUCGAGCUGUUGCGCCUCGGACAUCGCAGUCGCAGUGACACUGACCAGUUAUGCUCCCAGGUUCCAGCCAUUGGCAGGCGCGUCUUACUCGCGCUGGUGCUCAAAUGGUGCUUAAUGGUGGUUAAGCAUUCGUCCUCGUUUUGGUUUUUCUCCUUUUUUUGUUGCGUAUCGAGUCGAGACCAGAGGAAACGAAACGAUCCACCGAAGGGGCCCCAUCCGCAACUGGCAAUUAAAUCCGAAUAAAUUAUGCCGCCAACCUCCAGUUCAUUCGAUCGCUCGCUCGCUCGCUCGCUGGCCAGAUGAUUCGGUGACUGCUGCUGCUGCGUUUCCGGUUGCAACCGAGAUGCAAUCAGCACGAUUUUCGGUGCUUUCUGUGCACUCUCGGUGCGCAUCGCGCGCACCAGCUUCUUCCAUCUCCUUCUUUUUCUGCUGGCUAGCAGAUUUGAUAAAUGAUCACCAGAGUACGCCCGCCGAAGGCAGAUUUUAGGAUAUUCAACUACCGAAGGAGAUUUGUUCGUGGAACUGAUGCUACUGCUGCUGAUGCUGCUGCUCCUGAUGUCUAAACCUCGCGUAGCGCGGGAUCCUCUGGUGAUGGUGCCAGCUAAGCUGCUGUUAACCGUGCCGCGCACCGCACCGUGGAAGGUGUGAAGAUUUGGUGGCAAAAUGGCCUUCUGGCCUCUCGCGCCGCGCCCCGGACUUUGGAAAUCGAUUUCGCGUUUCUGUUGCGGCUGCCCAACACCACGCCCAACAGUGCACCCAACAGGUACGCGUUGCUUAGUCUGGCUCAUGUCUCUUCCAGGGACAUUUCCCGGGGUGGUUCGUAAAUUGUUCCCCGGAAUCUCACGGCAACGAUCUGCGGCUGCAACCAGGAGCCGCCCAUCUUCUUUUGGCCGAAGAAUGCCGAUCAGCCCUUUACUC